Molecule: long non-coding RNA, 2995 nt
Organism: Felis catus (domestic cat)
Lineage: Eukaryota; Metazoa; Chordata; Mammalia; Carnivora; Felidae
Exons: 2
Source: RefSeq, a predicted model, not a curated record
UUGUAUGGAUUUAUGUCUUUAAUCAAUCUUGAGUUUAUUUUUGUGUAUGGUGUUACAAAGUAGUCAGUUUAAUUGUUUUAUAUGUAGCUGUAGUUUCCCCAGAAGAAGUUAUUAAAAAGGCUUUCUUUUCCGUAUUGUAUAUCCUUGUCUCCUUAGUCAUAGAUUGGCCAUCUACCUGUGGGUUUAUUUCUGGGUUCACUAUUCUGUUCCAUUGAUCUAUGUGUCGGUUUUUGAUCUAGUACCAUCCUGCUUUGAUUACUACAGCUUUAUAGUAGAUCUUCAAAUCUGGAUUGUUCUAUCUCCAGCUUUCUUCUUCUUUCUCAUUAUUGCUUUGGCUACUUGGGGUUUUCUGUGGUUCCAUACGUAUUUUAGGAUUAUUCUAGUUUUGCACAAAAAUCCUUUUGCUAUUUUGAUAGGGGUUGCAUUGAAUCUGUAGAUUGCUUUGGGUAAUAUGGACGUCCCAACACAGGAGUGUGGGCUUGUCAGACUUUGGUAUUGGGUCUGCCUGGGGAGAGAGCCUUAGCUAUGAUUAGGGUUCCAUCCAGGGACAUCGCCAUGGCUGAAGUGACACCAGGCUCGUGAUGUCCCUUCAGGGCUUAAGUGAGGGCCCAUGUGACAUUGUGGGUCAAGUGUAGGGUUAAGUUUUGAGAUAGUGUUAGGGUUCGGUUGAGGGUUCUGAUUAGGGUUAAGUUUAGUGUUAGUUCCCAUGAGACUCCAGAUGCUGAACCCACAGCAGUGCAUUUGUCUCCCUGAAGGGCUGAGUGGAGAGUACAUGGAGUGUGCCAGUCAGGAUCAGUUUUUGGGUUCCAGGAACCGACAACUAUAUGGGUCACUGGUCGGGUAGGCCUCAGGAAUCCUCUCAGGCAGCUGCAGCUGGGCCUUGGAAACGACAUGGUGAUGUUCAGGUUCAUGCCGAGUAAUCCUGCACUGGACCACAAGGGGUGUGGUGCUGUCAGACAUUGGUAUUUGUUCCCCAUGGGUAGAGAACCUUAUCUAGCAUUAGGGUUUGGUCCAGGGACCUCACCAAGGCCACUGCGACUUCAGUCUCGUGAUAUCCCUCGAGGCCUCAAGUGAGGGCCCAUGUGACAGUGAGGGUCUAGUUUAGGAUUAGGUUUUGAGAUAGGGUUACGAUUCGGUUGAGGAUUCUGGUUAGGGUUAUGGUUAGGGUUAGGGUUAAGAUUAGUAUUAGGGUUAGGGUGAGGUCCCAGGAGGCUCCAGGCGCUAAACCCACAGCAGGGCAGUUGUCUUCCUGAAAGGCUGAGUGGAGGACAAAUAUGAGGGUGUCGGUCAGGAUUAGUCUUUGGUUUCCAGGCACCCAAAUCUAUGGGCCAAUUUUCGGGCAGGCCUCAGGACCCUCUCAGGCAGCUGAAGCCGGGCCUUGAAAAGAACAUGGUGAAGUUCCAGGUUCUAUGCCGAGUGAUCCUGCACUUCUUCGUGACCCCAGGCAUGUUGUGUUGUCAGAUUUGGUAUUGGUUCACCAUGGGGAGAGAACCUUAGCUACGUUUAGGUUUCGUUCCAGGGACGUCGCCAAGGCCAAAGCAAACACAGUCUCGUGAUCUCCCUCGAGGUCUGAAGUGAGGGCCCAUGCGACGGUGCAGGUCUAGUUUAGGGAUAGUUUUCGAGAUAAUGUUAGGGUUUGGUUGAGGGUUCUGGUUAGGGUUAGGGUUAUGUUCCAGGAGGCUCCAGGCACUGAACGCACAGCACUGUAGUUGUCUCCCAGAAGGGCUGAGUGGAGCAAAUGAGGUAGGGUGCCGGUCACCAUUAGCCUUUGGGUUCCAAGGCAAGACAUCUCUAUGGGAAAUUGUCGGGUAGGGUCAGGAAUCCUCUCGGGCAGCUUCAGCUGGGCCUUGGAAAGGACAUGGUGUUGUUCGAGGUUCUAUGCCAAGUGAUCCUGCACCUUUUCAUGACCCCAGGAGCAUGGUGUUGUCAGCCCUUGGUAUUGGGUCCCCAUGGGGAGACAUCUUUACCUAGGAUUAGGGUUCCUUACAGGUAUGUCCCCAGGGCCGAACCGACUCCAGUCUCGUGAUCUCCCUUGUGGGCUAAAGUGAGGGACCAUGCGAAGGUGUGGGUCAAGUGUAGGGUUAGUUUUCGAGAUGGGGUUAGGUUUCAGUUGAGGGUUCUGUUUAGUGUUAGGGUAGGUUUACGGUUAAGUCCCAGAAGGCUCUAGGUGCUGAAACCACAGGAGUGUAGUUGUCUCCCCAAAGGUUUGAGUUGAGGGCACAACGGAGUGUGCCGGUCAGGAUUAGUCUUGGAUCCCCAGACCAGACAACUCUAUUGGCCAGUGGUUUUGUAGGUCUUAGGUAUCCUCAAGGGCAGGUGCAGAUGGGCCUUGGAAACACAUGGUUAUGUUCCAGGUUCUAUGCCGAGUGAUCCUGCACCUCUUCUGGACCCCAGGCCCAUGGUUUUGUCAGACUUUGUUAUUGGGACCCAUGGGGAGAGAACUUUACCUAGGGAUAGGGUUCAGUCCAGGGAUGUCGCCAGGGCUGAAUUGACUCCUGUCUUGUGGUCUCCCUCGAGGUAUGAAAUGAGGGCCCAUGCGAUGGUGAGGGUCAAAUGUAGGGUUAUGGUUCCAUAUUAGGUUGAGUGUUCUAGUUAGGAUUAAGAUUAGGGUUAGGGUUAGGUCCCAGGAGACUCCAGGCAUUUACCCCACAGCAGUGCAGUUGUCUCCCUGAAAGACUGAGUGGAGGGUACAAGAGAGGAUUCUGUUCAGGAUUAAUGUUUGUUUUCCAAUGCCACAGAACUCUAUGGUCCACCGGUCCGGUAGGCCUCAGGAAUUCUCUCUGGCAGCUGCAGACGCACCUUGGAAACAACAUGAUGUUCCAGGUCUAUGCUGAGUAAUCCUGCACCGCUUCAUGACCCCAGAAAAUAAAAAGGCCCUGAAAGACAAGUGUAAUGCAUUGAGGUCUGUGAAAGCCACAAAGGAAGCAAAAGUCAAACAGCUGAAGGAGAAAGCACAUAACCUGGAAGAAUUCUAUGAACAAAGAAAAGUGCCUAC